GUGAAGAACGUAGCGAAAUGCGAUAAGUAAUGUGAAUUGCAGAAUUCAGUGAAUCAUCGAAUCUUUGAACGCACAUUGCGCCCCCUGGUAUUCCGGGGGGCAUGCCUGUCCGAGCGUCAUUACAACCCUCAAGCUCAGCUUGGUAUUGGGCCCCGCCGACCCGGCGGGCCCUAAAGUCAGUGGCGGUGCCGUCCGGCUCCGAGCGUAGUAAUUCUUCUCGCUCUGGAGGUCCGGUCGUGUGCUCGCCAGCAACCCCCAAUUUUUUUCAGGUUGACCUCGGAUCAGGUAGGGAUACCCGCUGAACUUAAGCAUAUCAAUAAGCGGAGGA
RNAcentral lists this unclassified non-coding RNA (328 nucleotides) under soil metagenome. RNAcentral describes it as "partial contains 5.8S ribosomal RNA, internal transcribed spacer 2, and large subunit ribosomal RNA". The stretch from base 2 to 119 matches the Rfam family "5.8S ribosomal RNA", at positions 37 to 154 of the family's 154-position model. The record is from RNAcentral.